This 271-nucleotide ribosomal RNA is filed under the name uncultured prokaryote. RNAcentral's name for it is "partial 16S ribosomal RNA". It matches the Rfam family "Bacterial small subunit ribosomal RNA", at positions 524 to 794 of the family's 1533-position model. The record is from RNAcentral.
UACGUAGGGGGCGAGCGUUGUCCGGAAUGACUGGGCGUAGAGGGCGUGUAGGCGGUUCUGUAAGUAGGGCGUGAAAGCUCCCGGCUCAACUGGGAGAUGCCGUUCUAAACUGCAGAGCUAGAGGAUGGUAGAGGGAGGUGGAAUUCCAGGUGUAGCGGUGGAAUGCGCAGAUAUCUGGAGGAACACCAGUGGCGAAGGCGGCCUCCUGGACCAUUCCUGACACUCAGACGCGAAAGCUAGGGUAGCAAACGGGAUUAGAUACCCCCGUAGU